UAAUUUGAAGAAGGUAACUUUGGAGUUGGCUCUUGUCUAUGUUCCUUGGAACAGGACGUCACAGAGGGUGAGAAUCCCGUGCGAUGAGAUGCCCAAUUCUAUGUAAAGUGCUUUCGAAGAGUCGAGUUGUUUGGGAAUGCAGCUCUAAGUGGGUGGUAAAUUCCAUCUAAAGCUAAAUAUUGGCGAGAGACCGAUAGCGAACAAGUACAGUGAUGGAAAGAUGAAAAGAACUUUGAAAAGAGAGUGAAAAAGUACGUGAAAUUGUUGAAAGGGAAGGGCUUGAGAUCAGACUUGGUAUUUUGCGAUCCUUUCCUUCUUGGUUGGGUUCCUCGCAGCUUACUGGGCCAGCAUCGGUUUGGAUGGUAGGAUAAUGACUAAGGAAUGUGGCUCUACUUCGGU
RNAcentral lists this ribosomal RNA (399 nucleotides) under Debaryomyces hansenii. RNAcentral's name for it is "partial large subunit ribosomal RNA". It matches the Rfam family "Eukaryotic large subunit ribosomal RNA", at positions 146 to 550 of the family's 3401-position model. The record is from RNAcentral. Lineage: Eukaryota; Fungi; Ascomycota; Pichiomycetes; Serinales; Debaryomycetaceae.